AUGCUGGGAAGGUCUCCAGGGGGAAGCCGCCAGCUCCUUCCCAGCGUGCCAGAUGCUUUGUUCUGCAGGCUCCUGGACACCGAUGCAGCCGGGAGCAAAGAUGAGAUUCAGCCCAGGCACCCUCGUAUCUUCCAGCAGCGAUGCGCCGUGCAGCCCAUCUUUCUACAGGGCCGCGGGGGUCAGCUCUCGCUCCAGGUACGAUCUCGUGCAUUGGAGAAACUCUCAGAUCAAAUCCCCGAGAGCUCCUGUGUCGUUCGGCCGCUGACGUGUUUCUGUCACCCGCGCUCCCAUGCAGGUCAAGAGCCCCGUCGGCUCCUCAUUUCUGCUUGUCUCUGCGCUCGUGCUGCCCAGCUCGCAGGGCGGGAGCAUGGAGAGGGCUCGAAUGAUCUUUCCGCUCUCCCUGGACCAGCAAGGAUGAGGUUUCUGAGGCUUCACGCUGGGAUAAAGGAGUGUAAUCCGGGCUUGGCUGUGGGCCUUUUCUGCUGCGUCUCGUGGGGAGGAAAGAAAAAGCCCGUGGUGAAAUCUUCCUGUAUCGCCCUUCGCCCCAAGAAAGCAGCCUCCGAGGAGCCGUGCCGAGCAGCUGUUACCUGUGGUUCUUAGAAGACUUUUUAAGCAAUCCUGCAUGCAGGACAUGGACCAAGCAGCCAGAAACAUCUAAGAAAUAAGCACCCGGUGCUUUCUCCAUCUCCAGCCUGGCACAGCCAGGUCUCUGCCUCCGGGAAGAAGGUACAGCAAGGUCUCUCCCU
RNAcentral lists this long non-coding RNA (746 nucleotides) under Crocodylus porosus (Australian saltwater crocodile). Its description in RNAcentral is "lncRNA (ENSCPRG00005013755.1)". Lineage: Eukaryota; Metazoa; Chordata; Crocodylia; Crocodylidae. The record is from RNAcentral.